This 440-nucleotide ribosomal RNA is filed under the name uncultured bacterium. RNAcentral describes it as "partial 16S ribosomal RNA". It matches the Rfam family "Bacterial small subunit ribosomal RNA", at positions 338 to 795 of the family's 1533-position model. The record is from RNAcentral.
CCUACGGGUGGCAGCAGUAGGGAAUAUUGCACAAUGUGCGAAACCCUGAUCCAGCGACGCCGCGUGAGUGAAGAAGUCAUUCGUUAUGUAAAGCUCUAUCAGCAGGGAAGAAAAUGACGGUACCUGAGUAAGAAGCCCCGGCUAACUACGUGCCAGCAGCCGCGGUAAUACGUAGGGGGCAAGCGUGCUCCGGAUUUACUGGGGGUAAAGGGAGCGUAGACGGCAGUGCAAGUCUGGAGUGAAAGGCGGGGGCUCAACCCCCGGACUGCCCUGGAAACUGUACGGCUGGAGUGCAGGAGAGGUAAGUGGAAUGCCUGGUGUAGCGGUGAAAUGCGUAGAUAGUAGGAGGAACACCAGUGGCGAAGGCGGCUUACUGGACUGUAACUGACGUUGAGGCUCGAAAGCGUGGGGAGCAAACAGGAUUAGAUACCCCAGUAAUC